Molecule: ribosomal RNA, 497 nt
Filed under: uncultured bacterium
Lineage: Bacteria
Description: partial 16S ribosomal RNA
Rfam family: Bacterial small subunit ribosomal RNA
Source: RNAcentral
GAUGAACGCUGGCGGCGUGCCUAAUACAUGCAAGUCGAGCGAACAGACGAGGAGCUUGCUCCUCUGACGUUAGCGGCGGACGGGUGAGUAACACGUGGAUAACCUACCUAUAAGACUGGGAUAACUUCGGGAAACCGGAGCUGAUACCGGAUAAUAUAUUGAACCGCAUGGUUCAAUAGUGAAAGACGGUUUUGCUGUCACUUAUAGAUGGAUCCGCGCCGCAUUAGCUAGUUGGUAAGGUAACGGCUUACCAAGGCGACGAUGCGUAGCCGACCUGAGAGGGUGAUCGGCCACACUGGAACUGAGACACGGUCCAGACUCCUACGGGAGGCAGCAGUAGGGAAUCUUCCGCAAUGGGCGAAAGCUUGACGGAGCAACGCCGCGUGAGUGAUGAAGGUCUUCGGAUCGUAAAACUCUGUUAUUAGGGAAGAACAAAUGUGUAAGUAACUAUGCACGUCUUGACGGUACCUAAUCAGAAAGCCACGGCUAACUACGUG